UUAGCAGUAGUAUAAAAAGUAUUUCUUCCUUCCAAGAAGAAGGUCCAAAAAAGUUGGCUGCUAAA
RNAcentral lists this transfer RNA (65 nucleotides) under Dicyathifer mannii. Its description in RNAcentral is "tRNA-Gly". Lineage: Eukaryota; Metazoa; Mollusca; Bivalvia; Myida; Teredinidae. The record is from RNAcentral.